RNAcentral lists this ribosomal RNA (253 nucleotides) under uncultured bacterium. RNAcentral describes it as "partial 16S ribosomal RNA". It matches the Rfam family "Bacterial small subunit ribosomal RNA", at positions 524 to 776 of the family's 1533-position model. The record is from RNAcentral.
UACGGAGGUGGCAAGCGUUGCUCGGAAUCACUGGGCGUAAAGGGCGCGUAGGCGGGGAGGUAAGUCGGGUGUGAAAUCCCUCGGCCCAACCGAGGAACUGCGCCCGAGACUGCUUCUCUUGAGUCCCGGAGAGGAAGAUGGAAUUCCCGGUGUAGCGGUGAAAUGCGCAGAUAUCGGGAGGAACACCAAUGGCGAAGGCAGCUCGCUGGGACGUGACUGACGCUGAGACGCGAAAGCGUGGGGAGCAAACAGG